AGAGUUUGAUCCUGGCUCAGGAUGAACGCUGGCGGCGUGCCUAACACAAUGCAAGUCGAGCGAUUACUUCGGUAAAGAGCGGCGACGGGUGAGUAACGCGUGGGUAACCUGCCUCAUACACAUGGAUAACAUACCGAAAGGUAUGCUAAUACAGGAUAAUAUAAGAGAUUCACAUGGAUUUCUUAUCAAAGCUCCGGCGGUAUGAGAUGGACCCGCGUCUGAUUAGCUAGUUGGUAAGGUAAUGGCUUACCAAGGCGACGAUCAGUAGCCGACCUGAGAGGGUGAUCGGCCACAUUGGAACUGAGACACGGUCCAAACUCCUACGGGAGGCAGCAGUGGGGAAUAUUGCACAAUGGGCGAAAGCCUGAUGCAAGCAACGCCGCGUGAGUGAUGAAGGCCUUCGGGUACGUAAAACUCUGUCCUCAAGGAAGAUAAUGACGGUACUUGAGGAGGAACGCCCGGCUAACUACGUGCCAGCAGCAGC
This 484-nucleotide ribosomal RNA is filed under the name uncultured bacterium. RNAcentral describes it as "bacterial SSU rRNA". It matches the Rfam family "Bacterial small subunit ribosomal RNA", at positions 8 to 518 of the family's 1533-position model. The record is from RNAcentral.